CGCGUAGGCGGCCCGCUAAGUCGAACGUGAAAUCCCCAGGCUCAACCUGGGAACUGCGUCCGAUACUGGCAGGCUUGAAUCCGGGAGAGGGAUGUGGAAUUCCAGGUGUAGCGGUGAAAUGCGUAGAUAUCUGGAGGAACACCGGUGGCGAAGGCGGCAUCCUGGACCGGCAUUGACGCUGAGGCGCGAAAGCUAGGGAGCAAACG
Molecule: ribosomal RNA, 206 nt
Filed under: uncultured bacterium
Lineage: Bacteria
Description: partial 16S ribosomal RNA
Rfam family: Bacterial small subunit ribosomal RNA
Source: RNAcentral